UAACGCGAAGAACCUUACCCAGGCUUGACAUGCAGCUGCAAGUCCCGUGAAAGCGGGAUGCCUUCGAGGGUGCUGCACAGGUGCUGCAUGGCUGUCGUCAGUUCGUGCCGUGAGGUGUUUGGUUAAGUCCACCAACGAACGCAACCCCUGCGUCCAGUUGCCAUCGGUUCGGCCGGGCACUCUGGAGGGACUGCUCGUUCACACGAGAGGAAGGUGGGGAUGACGUCAAGUCAGUAUGGCCCUUACGCCUGGGGCCGCACACGUGCUACAAUGGCCGGUACAGAGGGACGCGAGACCGCGAGGUGGAGCAAACCCCAGAGAGCCGGCCCCAGUUCGGAUUGGAGUCUGCAACCCGACUCCAUGAAGUUGGAUUCGCUAGUAACGGCGCAUCAGCAGUUGGUGCCGUGAAUACGUUCCCGGGUCUUGUACACACCGA
This 436-nucleotide ribosomal RNA is filed under the name uncultured rumen bacterium. RNAcentral's name for it is "bacterial SSU rRNA". It matches the Rfam family "Bacterial small subunit ribosomal RNA", at positions 957 to 1393 of the family's 1533-position model. The record is from RNAcentral.